RNAcentral lists this ribosomal RNA (277 nucleotides) under uncultured bacterium. RNAcentral's name for it is "partial 16S ribosomal RNA". It matches the Rfam family "Bacterial small subunit ribosomal RNA", at positions 28 to 298 of the family's 1533-position model. The record is from RNAcentral.
GACGAACGCUGGCGGCGUGCUUAACACAUGCAAGUGGAGCGACGAACCGGUCUUCGGACCGGGGCAGAGCCGCGAACGGGUGAGUAACACGUGGGUAACCUACCUCGAUGACCGGGACAACCCGAGGAAACUCGGGCUAAUACCGGAUGAGCUCUCAUUCCAUGAGGUUUGAGAGGAAAGAUAGCUUCGGCCUUCGCAUCGGGACGGGCCCGCGGCCCAUUAGCUUGUUGGUGGGGUAACGGCCUACCAAGGCGACGAUGGGUAGCUGGUCUGAGAG